This 30-nucleotide non-coding RNA is filed under the name Homo sapiens (human). The record is from RNAcentral. Lineage: Eukaryota; Metazoa; Chordata; Mammalia; Primates; Hominidae.
UCAAAGCGGACCAAGGCCCGCGGACGGCGC